This 72-nucleotide transfer RNA is filed under the name Pelobates cultripes (western spadefoot toad). RNAcentral describes it as "tRNA.Asp". It matches the Rfam family "tRNA". From Rfam's summary of the family: Transfer RNA (tRNA) molecules are approximately 80 nucleotides in length. Lineage: Eukaryota; Metazoa; Chordata; Amphibia; Anura; Pelobatidae. The record is from RNAcentral.
UCCUCGUUAGUUUAGUGGUAAGUAUCCCCGCCUGUCACGCGGGAGACCGGGGUUCGAUUUCCCGACGGGGAG